CAUUUGUAAAGGCAAACUCAGUGAAAGCCGAGGACGCAAAGCUACGAGUCUAAAGCCUCGGCAGAGGUAAAGAUAGUCGGGUUGCCAUG
This 89-nucleotide non-coding RNA is filed under the name Desulfitobacterium metallireducens. Its description in RNAcentral is "c-di-GMP sequence". It matches the Rfam family "c-di-GMP-I riboswitch aptamer". Rfam says of the family: GEMM was predicted in a large-scale screen for bacterial structured RNA regulatory elements. Genes associated with GEMM are involved in a diverse array of functions, including chemotaxis regulation, signal transduction, secretion and chitin. The record is from RNAcentral. RNAcentral also lists the same sequence under 1 other name. Lineage: Bacteria; Bacillati; Bacillota; Clostridia; Eubacteriales; Desulfitobacteriaceae.